CUACAGAUUGGGCAAAAAUGGAGGACCAUAUGUGUAGUUGGAGACCUAGCUUGCUGUUGCUGUCACUAGUAAUAUAGAUGGAGUGGCUAUGUUUACCAGGAAACUAUAA
Molecule: long non-coding RNA, 109 nt
Organism: Lagopus leucura (white-tailed ptarmigan)
Lineage: Eukaryota; Metazoa; Chordata; Aves; Galliformes; Phasianidae
Exons: 3
Source: RefSeq, a predicted model, not a curated record